AAAUUAUUCACCUGAAGGUAACUCAGAGAAAGCAAAGAUUUCACAGACGUCCACUGAUGGCUUUUUAACAGGAAAAAAAGGUUGAUGAGAAAUAAACUGGUUAAAGACGACUGGAUAGAGAGUAAGUUUCUAUGUGCGCAUGUGACACGGAGCUGCGAUUUCUGCGACAGAGCUACAGCGCUACAUGCACGUGCUUCCACACUUUGGGAUCGGCCAGGUCUACCAGAGCUUUAGCGUUGAGCAAGCCGAAUCCGAAGCGGCUGUUCACCAUGAGACCGGCGCCGUUCCUCUUCCAGCCAGGGUUAUUCGCUAGAGGGUCGAACUCAG
Long non-coding RNA from Pangasianodon hypophthalmus (striped catfish), 327 nucleotides. RefSeq lists it as uncharacterized. Lineage: Eukaryota; Metazoa; Chordata; Actinopteri; Siluriformes; Pangasiidae. The record is from RefSeq and is a predicted model, not a curated record. The transcript is spliced from 3 exons.